This is an RNA transcript of Hordeum vulgare subsp. vulgare (domesticated barley), 1427 nucleotides long. It is a transcript of the gene named ankyrin repeat domain-containing protein 2A-like, with no coding region annotated. The record is from RefSeq and is a predicted model, not a curated record. The transcript is spliced from 8 exons. Lineage: Eukaryota; Viridiplantae; Streptophyta; Magnoliopsida; Poales; Poaceae.
CUUCGCGUGGUAGUCGUCAAACCAAGUCUCGCACGCCAUCUUGGCCAGCGCUCUCUCCUCCCCCACCGCGCCGCCGAGCUCCGCCUCCGGCCGACGCAAGCAGGCCACCUCGGACGAAUUCUUCUUCCCCUACUCCUCGUAUCUACCGGGAUGGCGUCGGGUGGAGAUCUUCCAUCCGGGUUCACUGAUGAGAGCAAAAUUAAAAAAACAGAAGGAUCAUCCAACGAAGGUCAAGGUGUUCCUCCAGCUGCCGCUGCAGGCUUGUCGGGUCCUUUCGAUUUUUCUUCUAUGCAAAGUUUGCUCAAUGAUCCAUCUAUAAAGGAGAUGGCAGAUCAGAUUGCAAGGGACCCUGCAUUCAAUCAGAUGGCUGAGCAGCUACAGAAAGGUGCUCAGGGUGCAGGAGAACAGGGCAUGCCUCCAUUGGAUCCUCAUCAAUACAUUGAAACAAUGCAAAGGGUCAUGGAAAACCCUCAAUUCAUGACAAUGGCAGAACGCCUCGGGACUGCUCUUAUGCAGGAUCCUGCUAUGUCCAGUAUGCUGGAAAACUUGACCAGUCCAACACAUAAGGAGGAGCUUGAAGAGCGCAUGUCUCGUAUUAAGGAAGAUCCAGCUUUGAAGCCAAUUCUUGAUGAGUUAGAGAAUGGUGGUCCUGCUGCAAUGAUAAAGUAUUGGAAUGACCCUGAAACUCUUCAAAAGAUUGGCCAGGCAAUGGGAACCACCAUGCCAUUUGGCACUGUCUCUACUGCUGAGCCUUCUGGUACUGAAGAAACUGAAGAAGAAGGUGAAGAUGAAGAUGAGUCCAUUGUCCACCACACUGCCAGUGUUGGUGAUGGUGAGGGUCUAAAGAAGGCUCUAGAUGGUGGAGCAGACAAGGAUGAAGAAGACUCUGAGGGAAGAAGGGCCUUGCACUUUGCAUGUGGAUAUGGUGAGUUCAAGUGUGCGGAAAUCCUCCUUGAGGCUGGUGCUGCAGUAGAUGCUAUGGAUAAGAACAAGAACACCCCACUGCAUUACGCUGCUGGCUAUGGCCGGAAAGAAUGUGUGGAUCUUCUGUUGAAGCACGGCGCUGCUGUCACUCUCCAAAACAUGGAUGGGAAGACGCCCAUCGAUGUCGCCAAGCUCAACAACCAGGAUGAGGUCCUCAAGCUGCUCUGAGAAGGACGUGUUCCUGUAAAUCGCUUCACUUGGCUCCCAUGAAGAGACAUGGCCGUCAUCAUGUUUUACAUCGCUUUGGCAUUGGUUGGAUAGUCAUACUCGAAUCGGCAUUUUAUUCGUUGUGUAAGAAUAUACUACCUGUGUUAGCUGGCCUGCAGGCCGACUGGCCGAGGUUAGAACUGCAUGUUACUGUAUAUGGCGACUUGUGUAUCGUCCACUUUGUUUCUGUUGAUUUCACUAGAGUAAUCCAAGACUGUACCCAAGAAUUAUUUUUA